RNAcentral lists this ribosomal RNA (497 nucleotides) under uncultured bacterium. RNAcentral describes it as "partial 16S ribosomal RNA". It matches the Rfam family "Bacterial small subunit ribosomal RNA", at positions 28 to 507 of the family's 1533-position model. The record is from RNAcentral.
GAUGAACGCUGGCGGCGUGCCUAAUACAUGCAAGUCGAGCGAACAGACGAGGAGCUUGCUCCUCUGACGUUAGCGGCGGACGGGUGAGUAACACGUGGAUAACCUACCUAUAAGACUGGGAUAACUUCGGGAAACCGGAGCUAAUACCGGAUAAUAUAUUGAACCGCAUGGUUCAAUAGUGAAAGACGGUUUUGCUGUCACUUAUAGAUGGAUCUGCGCCGCAUUAGCUGGUUGGUAAGGUAACGGCUUACCAAGGCAACGAUGCGUAGCCGACCUGAGAGGGUGAUCGGCCACACUGGAACUGAGACACGGUCCAGACUCCUACGGGAGGCAGCAGUAGGGAAUCUUCCGCAAUGGGCGAAAGCCUGACGGAGCAACGCCGCGUGAGUGAUGAAGGUCUUCGGAUCGUAAAGCUCUGUUAUUAGGGAAGAACAAAUGUGUAAGUAACUAUGCACGUCUUGACGGUACCUAAUCAGAAAGCCACGGCUAACUACGUG